Molecule: ribosomal RNA, 253 nt
Filed under: uncultured bacterium
Lineage: Bacteria
Description: partial 16S ribosomal RNA
Rfam family: Bacterial small subunit ribosomal RNA
Source: RNAcentral
UACGUAGGUGGCAAGCGUUGUCCGGAUUUAUUGGGUUUAAAGGGUGCGUAGGUGGCCCUGUAAGUCAGUGGUGAAAUAUCUCAGCUUAACUGAGAGGGUGCCACUGAUACUGCAGGGCUUGAGUACAGAUGAGGUAGGCGGAAUUGACGGUGUAGCGGUGAAAUGCAUAGAUAUCGUCAAGAACACCGAUAGCGAAGGCAGCUUACCAAGCUGUAACUGACACUGAGGCACGAAAGUGUGGGGAUCAAACAGG